Molecule: ribosomal RNA, 429 nt
Filed under: Fusobacteriota bacterium
Lineage: Bacteria; Fusobacteriati; Fusobacteriota
Description: Fusobacteria bacterium partial 16S ribosomal RNA
Rfam family: Bacterial small subunit ribosomal RNA
Source: RNAcentral
UGGGGAAUAUUGCGCAAUGGGCGAAAGCCUGACGCAGCGACGCCGCGUGAGGGAUGAAGGUUUUCGGAUCGUAAACCUCUGUCAGAAGGGAAGAAACCGCACUGUGCUAAUCAGCAGUGCCUUGACGGUACCUUCAAAGGAAGCACCGGCUAACUCCGUGCCAGCAGCCGCGGUAAUACGGAGGGUGCAAGCGUUAAUCGGAAUUACUGGGCGUAAAGCGCACGUAGGCUGCUUUGUAAGUCAGGGGUGAAAUCCUACGGCUCAACCGUGGAACUGCCUUUGAUACUGCUUAGCUUGAAUCCGGGAGAGGGUGGCGGAAUUCCAGGUGUAGGAGUGAAAUCCGUAGAUAUCUGGAGGAACAUCAGUGGCGAAGGCGGCCACCUGGACCGGUAUUGACGCUGAGGUGCGAAAGCGUGGGGAGCAAACAGG